UGAUGAUGGUAUUUGCUCCACACAGCCGCACUUCCAUCACUAUCAUCAUCGUAACAUCACAGUUCGAGUUGAGUAAGUCCAAGUUGGAUGGAAUUCAAGUAUUUCAGUUGAAACGGAACUUUCGCAAAGAACGGUCAUGGUCUUGAAAUAUUAUUGCCAAAGCUAAAAACUCAAGCAAAGCAACCAAAUACAAAAAAAAAAAGAGUUAUAAACGGUUCCCACAGUCUGCUGGCGAGGCGAUGAGCGAUGAUGAUGAUGGUGAUGGCGGGGCAUAUAGAUACAAAGCUUUGUGCUCUCGCUCUCUCGCAAUUUCUCACUCUCUCUCUCUCUCUCUCAUAAUCAUCGUCAUUCGUGAAUUGUGAAUAGAAGAAGCCUGCUUGGACUUCGUGCCACAAUAUGAGGCUCAUUCUCCAACCGACAACGGCCACGGGAGGAUAGUUCCAACUUCGCACUUUAAAGUAUCUAUCUCACCGAAAAAAAAGUAUCUUUUGCUAAAAAAUUUCUAAUCAGUGUUGUCGGUCGCGGUGUCAUUCGGUUGCUUAGUUGCGUACACCGACCUUCGUUCAAUAGCCGUAAAGCGGAGUGGAGCGUGUGUUCUCGACAUCUGGAGCUUUCAGUUUUCAUCAUUUAACAAAACCAACAACAACUGCCGCCGCAAAAAAAUGUCAAAUGGAGAGAAAGCUUUCUGAUAGUCGUCAUGUCUGUGUUGUAGCUUUGUUUCUGCUGGCACUGGCACUAGCAGUGGCAGCGGCAAAAGGCAGCAUAGCCAACUAACUUUUAGUCGUUUGGAAUGUAUCUGGAGCCAAAGACUUUAUUCCUACUCCAUCCGGUGUGGCAGAGUCAAUAAAGUGUGUGGUUUAUUUUCUUUUCUCAUAAAUUGCUGGCGCUUUCCUGCAGUCGUACUCAUUCUUUUUUCUUCUGAGUCUUGUGUUGAGGAUUUCGUUUUACCUUUUUUUUUUGGGAAGAAAAAGGAGAGGGAUUUUUGUGUGUGAAUUAAUAUCAAUUCGUUCGGCUCAGUCGUUAACUGUCACGAUUUGUGUUAACAACAUUAUCAUACUCACCUAUCAGUUAAAUUUAAGUGUGAAAUUGUGAACACGUAUCUAUGACACUUUAUCGGCAAACAGAUACGAACUCAAUCUCUCGUCGCGAACUUUGCACCAUGACUUUGUGAAAGAUUCCAACUUAACACUUAUAGCCUUCCCAAUAGUGAAAUAAUGUUUUUUUUUUUAUUUUGUUCCAAGUUAAUAGCAAUAAAGUGUGAACAAAAAUACAACAAGAAAAAAAAAAUGACGUAGUAAAAUAAAUUUUUAUUCGUCUUUAUAAACUGCGCAGUUAAAAAAUAGAAACAAUUAAUUUACUUAGCUCCAAAGGUGAGGAGAAAAGUGUUCCAAAGUGCAAAAAAAAGCAUCUCCUAAUAAAAAAAAAAAAGACACCCAGCAACAAUUCACAAAACAUAAAAUAAAGAUAACAUUUCUUCUUAUUCACAAGAACAAUUUAUAAAAAACAAAAUAAACAACAAACAAAAAAUUAAUUUCAAACAAAAAAAUAAAAGAUAACACCCAUCAACCACCAACCCCCUGUAAUCUAAGCUAUGAUACAACACCAUCACAAUUAUAUUUGAGUCUAGCCAUCAAAAAUAAGGCUGUCUUCAUUGUAUAUCCGUAUCCGUCGUCUCUCCAAUAUACUCUCAUUCACAUAGUCAAAAUCAAGUGCCAAACAUAAAAAGAGGGAAACUCCCUUACUUUAUCUGCCGACAGAUAAAAGAUAAAAGCAACAAAAAAAAAAAGAACCUAAUUGAAGUUGGAUUUCCCAAAAAAAAAAUAUCUACAAUGAAAAAAAAAAUAAACUUUCAAACAAGAUAGUCUCGAAAAUCCGUAUUUCGUCUACAACAAAACUGUGGCCUUCUUAUCUCCCGGUUUUGAAUAUAUAAAAAAAUAGCUCUCAAAAACACAUCACAAAAGCCCCAAGGGACGGAAGGAAGUGAAAUAAAAAAAAAAUGGUGGAAUUCGAAUUAAUUUAUGUAAUGCAUAGCCCUACACACUUAACAAAGUUAACAAGUUUCACACAGAACAACAACAAAAGCACGAAAAAAACAUGAAGGCAGAAAAAAUGAGAAGAAAACAGGACCUUCUUUUAAGAGUUAAAGAGGAAAAUCACCAUUUUUCUUCCAACCCAUCAGUUAAGAACCAGAAAAGGAACGACGACGAAGAUGAUGAUGAUGAUAAUGCUGGCAAAGAUGAUUUCACUCUCUGAAAAGGUACGUAGUACAUCAAGAAUUGCAAUCCCAUCAUUAUUCAAUUAAUUUCCUUACAAAACAUUAGCUCACAUAAUUGAAUAAUUGAGAGGAUACAAAUUACUCAGUGGCCUAAUGCUAUACUCUCUGUGUAUAGUAUAUAUCCUUCCGGGAUCCUUUCUGUACCAUACAAAUGUAUAUUUAUCACCAUUUGUGCAAUUAAAUGCUACUUCUACAAUUCGGAUUCGGUUAGUGUGGAGAGAUAUAGAUGUACAUUUAUCUUUGGGUGGUAAUGGGGAUACCAAUAUGGCGAUAUGGGUAACUCUCGAGCUGUUGUUUUGGUUUUGGAGUUUCUAUAUAAAUGAAUGAGUCUGUGACGCGUGAUGCGGGGAGUGUCUGGAACGAUAUAGAGACCCAUAAGGACCUCACUCCUUACGCUUAUUUGGAUGGCUCGGACUCCCUUGAAUUAUGCAUUUGUAAGUUUAUUAUAGGCCAACUGUUUCGACAGAGCUUUAUCGUUCAGAGGGAAAUUUAUAUAAAUAUAUAGAUAGGAGUAGAAUAGGUGGAUACAGAUUGCCUAGGUGUUCAAUUAAAUUAUCGCCCGGACAUGCUCUUCGAGAAUUCCCAAUAAAUUUAUGCGGUCAACCGAUGUUCUGAUAUGGGAGUGAAAUGUACAACCUCCAGUAUAGUAGCUGGCUUGGCCAGUUGAGCAUGGUGAGCAUGCAAUUGCAACCACAAACACAUACACCGAGAAUACAUGCGCUAUAGUUAUGCAUAGAGUGUUGUAGAGUUGUAUAUAGAUCUCGAUGAAGCGCAGUCCAUUGGAAAACUCAAUUUUCUCUCAUCGUUCGGCAGCUUCCUUUUUCAUCGACUUCAAUGGAGUCCUUCACUAUACACUCAUAUAGACAUAUAUCCUCUUUAACCAUAUAGUACAAAAUAUAUUUAAUUGAAAAUAAUUUCAACUUUGUUCAAACAGCAAACGAUGGAAAGUUUUUAAUCGUUUUUGACGAGUUUUCUGCUCCUGUAUAUACAUUGGUAGAAAAAAAAGGAUGUGUGGCAGGGAAGUUUGGUUUUGCCGGCUCCGUCUCAUCAGAGCUAACAUCAGCAUCAGCUAUAGCAAUAAAAAGCAAAAGAAGAAAAAAAAAACUUUUUAAGUAUAGAGAGACAAAGUAGAAAAAAAAAUACAAAACCAAGGAAGCAAAAUAAAACAAACAAAGUCUCUCUAAUAGGAUAAUCGAUACAAAAGUUAGAGUCCAAUUAAAAUGGAAUCGUUCUUCGUUGGUUCGCCUACGAUCUUCCUUCAAUCAUAUACUCUAUACACACGGGUGGGUGUUUGGGGAAAUGAUGGUGGGAGAAAGAAAGUUUUUGUAGCUUGUUAUCAAAUAUUGAAAUAAAAGUAACGCCAAAGUUUUGUUUUUGUUGUUGUUUUUGUUUCAAUAAAAGAUAUAGACGAUUCAUGUGAUGAUGAGUUAAGUCAAUAUUAAGUGAUACAACAUCAAGGUUCAAGGACCAUGUUGUUUGAUUGGUAUUUUGGUAAACUUGAACUGAUGUACUUUCAUAAGUCAUAAGUCAUAGAUAUGCCAGAUAUAUUGAUUUAGACCAAAUAUAAAAGUAACACUAUAGCUCAUUAUUAUUGUAUGAUAGGAGUAUUCAUCAAGAUGGACAAAAUAUCAAUUGCUGAUACAAUUUUACAUU
This is a long non-coding RNA of Episyrphus balteatus (marmalade hoverfly), 3928 nucleotides long. RefSeq lists it as uncharacterized. The transcript is spliced from 3 exons. Lineage: Eukaryota; Metazoa; Arthropoda; Insecta; Diptera; Syrphidae. The record is from RefSeq and is a predicted model, not a curated record.